AUUGAACGCUGGCGGAAUGCUUUACACAUGCAAGUCGGGCGGCAGCGCGGGGGCAACCCUGGCGGCGAGCGGCGAACGGGUGAGUAACACAUCGGAACGUACCCUGUCGUGGGGGAUAACGAAUCGAAAGAUUCGCUAAUACCGCAUACGACCUGAGGGUGAAAGCGGGGGAUCGCAAGACCUCGCGCGAGAGGAGCGGCCGAUGGCGGAUUAGCUAGUUGGUGGGGUAAAGGCCCACCAAGGCGACGAUCCGUAGCGGGUCUGAGAGGACGGCCCGCCACACUGGGACUGAGACACGGCCCAGACUCCUACGGGAGGCAGCAGUGGGGAAUUUUGGACAAUGGGGGGCAACCCUGAUCCAGCCAUUCCGCGUGAGUGAAGAAGGCCUC
This 389-nucleotide ribosomal RNA is filed under the name uncultured bacterium. RNAcentral describes it as "bacterial SSU rRNA". It matches the Rfam family "Bacterial small subunit ribosomal RNA", at positions 29 to 418 of the family's 1533-position model. The record is from RNAcentral.